CCUACGGGAGGCAGCAGUGGGGAAUUUUGGACAAUGGGGGAAACCCUGAUCCAGCCAUGCCGCGUGAGUGAAGAAGGCCUUCGGGUUGUAAAGCUCUUUCAGACGGAAAGAAACGGUUACGGCUAAUACCCGUGACUAAUGACGGUACCGUCAGAAGAAGCACCGGCUAACUACGUGCCAGCAGCCGCGGUAAUACGUAGGGUGCGAGCGUUAAUCGGAAUUACUGGGCGUAAAGCGUGCGCAGGCGGUUUUGUAAGACAGGUGUGAAAUCCCCGGGCUUAACCUGGGAACUGCAUUUGUGACUGCAAGACUAGAGUGCGGCAGAGGGGGGUAGAAUUCCACGUGUAGCAGUGAAAUGCGUAGAUAUGUGGAGGAAUACCGAUGGCGAAGGCAGCCCCCUGGGUCGACACUGACGCUCAUGCACGAAAGCGUGGGGAGCAAACAGGAUUAGAUACCUGGUAGUCCACGCCCUAAACGAUGUCAACUAGGUGUUGGGGAAGGAGACUUCUUUAGUACCGCAGCUAACGCGAUAAGUUGACCGCCUGGGGAGUACGGUCGCAAGAUUAAAACUCAAAGGAAUAGACGG
RNAcentral lists this ribosomal RNA (586 nucleotides) under uncultured bacterium. RNAcentral's name for it is "bacterial SSU rRNA". It matches the Rfam family "Bacterial small subunit ribosomal RNA", at positions 338 to 916 of the family's 1533-position model. The record is from RNAcentral.